RNAcentral lists this ribosomal RNA (439 nucleotides) under uncultured bacterium. RNAcentral describes it as "partial 16S ribosomal RNA". It matches the Rfam family "Bacterial small subunit ribosomal RNA", at positions 338 to 795 of the family's 1533-position model. The record is from RNAcentral.
CCUACGGGUGGCUGCAGUGGGGGAUAUUGCACAAUGGGGGGAACCCUGAUGCAGCGACGCCGCGUGGGUGAAGAAGCGCCUCGGCGCGUAAAGCCCUGUCAGCAGGGAAGAAAAUUACGGUACCUGAAGAAGAAGCCCCGGCUAACUACGUGCCAGCAGCCGCGGUAAUACGUAGGGGGCAAGCGUUAUCCGGAUUUACUGGGUGUAAGGGGGCGCAGACGGCGAUGCAAGCCAGGAGUGAAAGCCCGGGGCCCAACCCCCGGACUGCUUUGGAAACUGUAUGGCUGGAGUGCAGGAGAGGUAAGUGGAAUUCCUAGUGUAGCGGUGAAAUGCGUAGAUAUUAGGAAGAACACCAGUGGCGAAGGCGGCUUACUAAACUGUAACUGACAUUGAGGCUCGAAAGCGUGGGGAGCAAACAGGAUUAGAUACCCGUGUAGUC